This 66-nucleotide transfer RNA is filed under the name Abia mengmeng. RNAcentral describes it as "tRNA-Leu". It matches the Rfam family "tRNA". Rfam says of the family: Transfer RNA (tRNA) molecules are approximately 80 nucleotides in length. Their secondary structure includes four short double-helical elements and three loops (D, anti-codon, and T loops). Lineage: Eukaryota; Metazoa; Arthropoda; Insecta; Hymenoptera; Cimbicidae. RNAcentral also lists the same sequence under 1 other name. The record is from RNAcentral.
UCUAUUAUGGCAGAUUAGUGCAAUGGUCUUAAGAUCCAUUUAUAAAGAUUUAAUCUUUUUUUAGAA